This 57-nucleotide transfer RNA is filed under the name Schistocephalus solidus. It matches the Rfam family "tRNA", at positions 1 to 55 of the family's 71-position model. From Rfam's summary of the family: Transfer RNA (tRNA) molecules are approximately 80 nucleotides in length. Their secondary structure includes four short double-helical elements and three loops (D, anti-codon, and T loops). Lineage: Eukaryota; Metazoa; Platyhelminthes; Cestoda; Diphyllobothriidea; Diphyllobothriidae. The record is from Rfam by way of RNAcentral.
GAGCCCGUAGCUCAAUGGUUAGAGCGUUGGACUUCUGAUCAACAGGUUGCGGGUUCG